UACGUAGGGUGCGAGCGUUGUCCGGAAUUAUUGGGCGUAAAGGGCUCGUAGGCGGCCUGCUACGUCUGCUGUGAAAGCCCGGGGCUCAACCCCGGGUCUGCAGUGGAUACGGGCAGGCUAGAGUCCGGCAGGGGAGACUGGAAUUCCUGGUGUAGCGGUGAAAUGCGCAGAUAUCAGGAGGAACACCGGUGGCGAAGGCGGGUCUCUGGGCCGGUACUGACGCUGAGGAGCGAAAGCGUGGGGAGCGAACAGGAUUAGAAACCCCCGUAGUCC
This 273-nucleotide ribosomal RNA is filed under the name uncultured bacterium. RNAcentral's name for it is "partial 16S ribosomal RNA". It matches the Rfam family "Bacterial small subunit ribosomal RNA", at positions 524 to 796 of the family's 1533-position model. The record is from RNAcentral.